CCGCCAUUUGCUAAAUUGAGCGACAAAAAAAACAGUCAACAAGGCCCUGGCACUCGCGAUCGCCUGGACUGGGGCUCCCUCCCGCCCAAGAUGCGGUCACACCAUCCCGGGUCCAGCCCGACGUGCGCGGACCGCCGCCGCUGAGGCCCCGACCCAAACCAGUAAGAGCGAGCACUCACGUGUUUCGUCGGAAAAGAAGAACAAAGAUUCCUGGGAGGGAGAAUUUAUAUGGCGCCAAGUGCCGCGAGAACUAGACCGCAACAUCCCUAUCGCGAGUGUUCCCGGGGCCUCCAAGACAGCUUGUGAUUGGCUUCACGGGGCCCCGUCAGCUCUGCGUGCGCCUGCGCGUCUCCGGGCUCGCGGAGUCGCUAUAAAUGCUGCUCCGCCGCGCGCGCGCCUCCUCCGGCUGCAGGGCUCCCGGAUGCCCCAACUGAGGCCGACGCCGCCAGGAUCGUGGCAGUAGGGAGACUUCGCUGUCCUCUUUCUUAUUUAUCUCCUUAAAGUAUGUUGUCUCUGUCUUAAUUUUUUAAUAAAGCUGUUGGUCUAACU
Long non-coding RNA from Myotis davidii, 549 nucleotides. RefSeq lists it as uncharacterized. Lineage: Eukaryota; Metazoa; Chordata; Mammalia; Chiroptera; Vespertilionidae. The transcript has 2 exons. The record is from RefSeq and is a predicted model, not a curated record.